CCCAUCAUCCUAGCCUGUUAUCUGUGAUAAAGCACACUGAAGUUAGGUUUGGAAUGCAUCCUUAUCAUGAAUGCUCUACACCUCCACCUCCAUCUCCCACAACCUAGGUAACAGCUUUGAGACUCACUAAAAGUUGAACCCCCUGAAUGAUGUAGGCUAUGGGGCCACAUAAGACUUUGUCCAUCCAGGGUUACAUUGAACGACAACUUUAAACUAAAAAACCAACAUUUUUCACACAACUCCAGGUUGUUACUACAAGUGUCAUCAAGGGAUAACUACAAGUAGAAGCACCAUUUUUGGAUGGAAAAAACCCUUCAGGAAAGUAUACGUAUCACAUGUAACAUGUAGUGUAACAAAG
Long non-coding RNA from Macrobrachium nipponense, 358 nucleotides. RefSeq lists it as uncharacterized. The transcript has 3 exons. Lineage: Eukaryota; Metazoa; Arthropoda; Malacostraca; Decapoda; Palaemonidae. The record is from RefSeq and is a predicted model, not a curated record.